RNAcentral lists this ribosomal RNA (449 nucleotides) under Trisopterus minutus (poor cod). RNAcentral describes it as "SSU rRNA". It matches the Rfam family "Eukaryotic small subunit ribosomal RNA", at positions 51 to 478 of the family's 1831-position model. The record is from RNAcentral. Lineage: Eukaryota; Metazoa; Chordata; Actinopteri; Gadiformes; Gadidae.
AUGCAUGUAUAAGUCCACACGGCUGGAAAAGUGAAACUGCGAAUGGCUCAUUAAAUCAGUUAUGGUUCCUUUGAUCGCUCACCCGCUACUUGGAUAACUGUGGCAAUUCUAGAGCUAAUACAUGCAAACGAGCGCUGACCUUCGGGGAUGCGUGCAUUUAUCAGACUUAAAACCCGCGCGGGGUGCUGCCGCGUGGUGGCCCCCGGCCUGUUUGGUGACUCUAGAUAACCUUGGGCCGAUCGCUCGCCCUCGCGGCGGCGACGACUCAUUCGAAUGUCUGCCCUAUCAACUUUCGAUGGUACUCUAUGUGCCUACCAUGGUGACCACGGGUAACGGGGAAUCAGGGUUCGAUUCCGGAGAGGGAGCCUGAGAAAUGGCUACCACAUCCAAGGAAGGCAGCAGGCGCGCAAAUUACCCAUUCACGACACGUGGAGGUAGUGACGAAAAAU